UACGGAGGAUCCAAGCGUUGUUCGGAUUCACUGGGCGUAAAGGGUGCGUAGGUGGCUUGGUAAGUUUGAUGUGAAAGCUCAGGGCUUAACCCUGAAAUGGCAUUGAAUACUAUUGAGCUGGAGGUUUGGAGGGGGGACUGGAAUUCUUGGUGUAGCAGUGAAAUGCGUAGAUAUCAAGAGGAACACCAGUGGCGAAGGCGAGUCCCUGGACAACACCUGACACUGAGGCACGAAAGCCGGGGGAGCAAACAGG
Molecule: ribosomal RNA, 253 nt
Filed under: uncultured bacterium
Lineage: Bacteria
Description: partial 16S ribosomal RNA
Rfam family: Bacterial small subunit ribosomal RNA
Source: RNAcentral